UCCAAUUGUUUUUUAUUCCUCUAUUAUUUCCCCCACCCUCAGGGUUGUGACUGCAGAGUGCCUGGGACAGGGUCUUUUGGCUUUCCUUCUGUAGCCCCCUGCACUUUGGCCAGAGCUGUGCAGUCUGACCCACAGGCCAGGGCGUGGUAGUAAAGGGCAAGAACCAGCUGCAGCACAAGUGGAUGGGAAUGAACCAGGCCUUUCUUUACUGUGAGGCACUCUGUUGUUUCAGGUGAUGGGACAGUGGAGUGCCUGCUGCCCUGAACUAUCUGUGGAUGGUGGGCACAGUUAGGCAGAGCUGGACCCCCUAGCUUGCCCAUGAAUACCCCAAAGGCAAGCACAGGCACCUGGGGGACUACACCAGCUCUAUGUCCUAGACAGGCAGGAAUGCAGUCUGUGUCCCUAUCAUACCAUGUGCCAGGGCUCAUGGCUUUCAGUUCAGAUGAACACCAGUGUCUGUCUCCAGGCCACAGUGGAGCGGAGACCAUGGAAACGCCUGUCCCACAGCUCUCUGUGGGAGCCGUUUUGGGAUAUAACCUUGACUCAGCCCGAUACAGACAGAUUUGUGGCUCACCUGUUCCCCAGGGUGAUAACUGCUACUCCUUUAUCUAGAGAUGUACAGACAGGUGGCAGGGGCCCUUCACUGUCACUGAAAGGUCUCUGCCUUUCAGCCUGUGUGGGCAUGUUUCAGUUGCAGUGAUGUCAGCUGGUUGGGUCAGAAUACUGUGACCUAUUGGGUCACAAUAGGCUACAUAAUUCUCUAAUUCCCAGGUCCCUAGACAGCCAGUGAAUGGAGUGCUGAAGUGACUGGACAGGGAUACGGCUGGCCCAGAGUUCAGGUGCUGGCUGUUACAGGGAGGGGUCGACUGGUCCCUGCUCGCCAUCCAAACUCUUAGGUGGGAGCAGGCAGAACACUGAGAGCCUGAGAGCAGAUAAUAGGCCUGUGGGGGCUGGGCUGUCAGAAGGGCUCCAAGCUGCAGCUGAAAAGGUCAGGCGAGAGCAGAGGCUUGUGCUGUGGCCCUUCCACUAGGGAGGGCAGACCACUGAGCUGGUUCACUGGAGACUGGCAGCUGUGGAGUGUGUGGCCCGUCGCACUUCCCUCCCACAGAAGCAGUGCUAGAUUUCGCUGUUUGGGGCCUGUGCAGGUGCCUGGCCUCCCUGCUCCUUCCCUGGGCCAUGGGUGGCAGGGGUGGAGGCAGCAGUGGCAGUGACUACUGCAUGACCCUCAGGGCUUAUCAGUGUUUUCCAGGGGUUGGGAUCUCAGGGAAACGCUGAGCUACAGGGUGGCUGUGCUGGUGCCCUGUUGCCAAUGCAGGCAUAUGCAAUUUGGCGGGGAGCAGCAGAAGUAGGGAGCCAUGCAGUGCAUAGUCUGCCUGCUCCUCCAUACCACAGUUGCAGCAUCUAUCUCUGGGGCAUGCGAAAGUGCCCAGCCUCCCUCUUUGGCAUGGCAGCAGCAGCUGGCCUUAGGCUGUUCAGGGAUCAAAGCCUGUGGGAUUCCACACAGGUUUGAGUGAUGCCUCUGUGCUAUACUCUGUACUCAUUAUUUUGAGUUCUCUCUGGGAGAAAGGUCCCCAGUAGCUGCUCCUAGUCAGUCAUCUUUAAGCACUUUAUAUUUUAAGGACAUUAGCACUUUAUCUGUAAUGUAUUUUGCAAAUAUUUUCUACUAGUUCAUCAGUUAUCUUUUGAUUUGUUUAUAUUUUGCAAUGCAAAAGGUUUUUUUCUGUUGUCAGAUUUAUCAAGCUUUUCUUUUAUUUAUUGAAAAGCCUUUUCCUACACCCAGCUAUAUUAGUUUGUUUUCACACUGCUAUAAAGAACUGCCUGAGACUGAGUAAUUUAUAAAGAGUUUAAUUGACUCACACUUCUGCAUGGCUGGGAGGUCUCAGGAAGCUUACAAUUAAGGCAAAGGGGAAGGGGAAGCAAGGUCCUUCUUCACGAGGCGGCAGGAGAGAGAGAAACAAAGGAACCACCAGACACUGUCACAAGCACAUCUUGUGAGAACUCACUCACUGUCAUGAGAACAGCAUGGGAGAAAGUGCUCUCAUGAGCCAGUCAUCUCUCACCAGGUCCCUCCCUUGACAUGUUUGGAUGACAAUUUGAGAUGAGAUUUGGGUGGGGACACAGCCAAACCAUAUCACCAAGUGUAUUAGUGAAGGUCCUCUAGAGAAACAGAACCAAUAGUUCCAAUGGCUGUCUCUCUCAUAUAUAUUCCCUUUCUCUCUCUCUCUCUCUCUCUCUCUUUCUCUCUCUCUGUGUGUGUGUGUGUGUGUGUGUGUGUGUGUGUGUGUGUUCACAUGGUUUUGGGGGUUGAUAAGUUCAAAAUCUGUAGGCCAGGUCAGUAGGUUGGAACCUCUUGGUCAGGAGUCGAUGCUGUAGUCUUGAGGUAGAAUUUCUUCUCCAGGAAACAUUAAUUUUGCUUUUAAGCCCUUUUAACUGAUUGGAUAAAAUCCACCCCAUUUUUGAGAGUGACCCUGAUCUUCUUUACUUAGAGUCAGUUUACCGUUGACGUUAACCACAUCUGCAAAGUACCUUCUCAACACAUAGUGAUACGGUUUGGCUCUGUUUUCCCACCCACAUCUCAUGUUCAGUUGUAAUCCUCAGUACUGAAGGUGGGGCCUGGUGGGAGGUGACUGGAUCGCGGGGGUGGAAUUCUCAUGAACGGUUUGGCACCAUCCCCCUUUGGUACCAUACACGGAGUGAGUUCUCAUGAGAUCUACUUAUUAUAAGUGGCAAGCACCUCUGCCUGCUCUCUUACUCCUGCUCCAACUGUGUAAGACACGCCUGCUUCCUCUUCACCUUCCGUCACAGCUGUAAGUUUCCUGAGGCCCCUCCAGAAGCUGAGCAGAAGCUUCUGUGCUUUCUGUACAGCCUGCAGAACCAUGAGGCAAAUGAACCACUUAAAAAAAAAAUAAAUGACCCAGCCUCAGGUACCUUUUUGUAGGAAGGUAUGAACAGACUAAUACUCAUAAAUCAUGUUCGAAUGAGUUACUGGAUACUGUAGUCUAUUCAACUAGCAUAUACAAUUAUCAUAGCUGUUAGGACAGAAAAGGUGUGUGGCUGCUUUUACCAGCUGAAAGCAAAUUCCUUCUGGUGGUCAUUACUAACAGAAAUUGAGGAAAAACACAUUUGUCAGUCAAUACCUUUAUACCAGUGCCUUAGUCUAUUUUCUGUUGUUUGUAAUAGAAUAUCUGAAGUGGGAUAGUUUGUAAAUUUUAAAAAAUUAUUUUCACAGUUAUGGAGACUGAGAGGUGUGAGCUCGAGGUGAAUCUGGUGAGAGUCUUAUCGCUGGUGGAGAUUCUCUGCAGGGUUCCAGAGUGGUACAGGGCAUCACACGGCGAGGGGCUAAGUGUGUUUGCAUGUGUUAACUCAGGUCUCUCUUCGUCUUCUUAUAAAGUCACCAGUUUCCCUUGUAUGACAGCCAGGAAUGGAUUAAUAAUAUUAAUGGGGGCACAACCCUUCAUAGUGUCAUCACCUCCCAGAGGUACCACCAGUCAACACUGCCACUUCUGGGUUAUGUCUCAACAUGAGUUCUGGAGGGGACAUUGAAAUCAGAGCAACCAGGUCCCAGGAGACAUAUUAAUUUGCUACAAUAAUGAAAUGAUUUCAAGUACAGAAAUCACACUGAAGUCCCCGUCUGGCUAAGUUCACAGUACUUUACUGCCGUUCCGUAAGAGCCGUCUGUCUUCUGCGCAGUCCAGACAAUCAGCUGAAUGGCAGCAGGGUGGGAAUCAUCCUCCCUCCACUCUUCCAGUCCUUGAUAGUGACACCAACAGUUUGAAGUAAUUUUUUUUGCAAAUGCAAUAUUGCUUUUUAUUUCCUGUUUUCCUCGGCAGAAGCAAUUCUAGUGGCUUCCAUUCGGCUUUUCCUACCAUAAUAGCUCUUGGUCCACAGGUCAAGAGACCCUUGUGGUCAGGACCUGAUGUGUCUAUUCCAAUAAUGCAUUCUGGAACUGAGGGAAACAAGCCCUGGAUGGGUUUUUAGUCAUCAGUUCUACAAUCCCUUACAUUUGGGGUCUCCUGAAAUUAGUGUCAAUUCGGAGCCUGUGUUUAGAAACCCCUGAGAAGUCUGAUGACGUCUUUUUCCCCAGUGCAAAGCCACCCUGGUAAAAGGAUGUGAGCCUCUCCGGGGGAGGAUGGCAGAAAGACUGACAGUAUAAAUGGGUGGCAGUGUAGUGGGGUCUUUCCUCAAGAGGAACUGACCUACCUUUCAUUCAAGCACUUCUGGAUGUGUAAACUGGCACAGAGUGGGAACUGAUUCAGGGGCCAUGGCUCUGCUUUCAUGAUUCAGGUUCAACUUCCGUCCACUUGACCUGGAACUCCUCUGCUUAUACAGAUCAGAUAAGGAUUGAGUGGACUCCACGUCUAUUUAUUUGGCAUCUGGGAACACCGUGAUCAACAAGCCAGUGCCAUGGGCCUCUGCCAGGCAGACUCUCCUGGUGGCAACUUUGACCGUGCUGUUCACUAUUGCAGCCGUACCAGUUUAUCUGGUUAUUAAGGAUUGCCACGUGGCCCUUCCAUGCCCCUCCCACCACAUUUAUUUCCACUGCCUUUAAGGAUCCCAGUUAAGUGACAGCAGUUCCCACUAUGACGUCUGACCUACAGAGAAGAGUGUCCACAGAGCUCUUCCAGGAAAUUCCGCUGCUGGAUACAUGUACAGGAAAUAUAUGCAAGAAAAAUUGCAAAAUGCUAUUGAAAGUGAACACAACCAUACAAAAUAGUCCCCAGAGAGCUUCUUUGUUUCUUUCCAUCAUGUGAGGACACAGUAAGAAUGUCCUGUCUAUGAAAAUCAUGUCAAUAGACUCUCACCAGACACGAAAUCUGCCAGCACCUUCAUCCCAGACUUCUCAGGCUACAGAUCUGUGAGCCACAAAUCACUGCUGUUUCUGCGUCACCCAGUUUGUGGUACUUGGUUAUAGCAGCUUGAAUAAAUGAAGACAGAGAUUGGUACUGAAAAAUGGGGGUGCUGCUGGGUCAUUGGGUAGAGACUACAAGGGUUUUGAAGUGCAUGCUAGAGAAAGCCUGUGUCACCACGAGCAGACCCUGAAGGAUGAUUCCGGUAAGGCCUCAGAACAAGAGGAGGAGUGCUGUAGAGAAAGCCUCCAUCUCCUUAGAGGAUAUCUAAGUGGUCAUGGACAGAACGUUACUAGAAAUAUGGACGAUAAAAGCCGUUCUUAGGGGUCUCAAACAGAAAUCAGAAAUAAGGAACCUGUUAUUGGAAACUGGAGAAAGGUAGUCCUUGUUGUAAAGUGGCAAAGAACUUGGCUGAAUUGACUUUAUGUCCUGGUGUUUUAUGUAAAAUAGAACUGGUGAGUAAUUAAAUAAGAUAUUUGCUGAAAACAUUUCUAAGCCAAGUGUUUAAGGUACGACUUGGUACUCUUGAAUGCUUGUAGUAAAAUAGAACAAGAGAGAAAUCAUUUGAAGAUAGAUUUUUUUUAAUCAAAAGGGAAGCAGAACUGCACAAUUUGGGAAAUUGCCAGUCCAUGUUGCAAAAUAUGAGAAAGCAUGUUCUGGAGAGAACACCAAGGGUGUGGCCGAGUGACCAUUUGGUAAGAUUAGCACAGGUCAGCCAGGUGUUGUUCAUCCAGACAAUGGAAAAAUGACCCUGGAGGCACUUUAGAAACAGCGGGGGCUGCCACUCUCACCACUCACCCACAGUGCAAGAGGCUGGGGGAUAGACUGUUUUUAAAGGAUGGACUGAAUUUUUCCGUAAGACCUUGGCACUCACUUCCUUGUGCUACCUCAAGGCUCUCUCCCCACAUUCUGCAUUCCUGCUCACUGACCACCCCAAGUAGGCUCCAGUGAGCUUAGGUGUGCCAUGUGCCAUGGGUGCCCCUCCAGAGGGCACAGGUAGUAAGCCUUGGUGGUGUCAACAUGGGAUCAGGUCUGCUGGAGUGCAGGUUGCAUGAGCUGUGGGGUGUGGAAGCCUCCGCCUAGAUCUCAAAGGAUGGAGUGGCCCAGAACUUCAGGCACAAGACUGAAGCAGAGGGCUGCUGGAGAGCCAUGGCUAGUGGAGCCAGCAGGGCAGGGCAGCCCAGGAGCCCAGUAGGAUGGAGCUACCAGUGAAUGAUUCCAGUAUGGGAGACCUGCAGGAAUGCAACUCCAACUCACGAGAGCUGCACUGUGGGCUGCACCCAGCAAAGCUGUAGCAGGGGCAGAACAUCCUGGAGCCCUGGGGGAACCAGCCCCUAUGCCACCAUGUUCAGAAGAUAGAACAUCCAGUCGAAGGAGAUUACUCUCGAGGUACAAGGUUUAAUGUUGUUUGUCACAUUCCACUUGCAGUUGCCUGAAACUUUUUACUCCUUUCUUCUUUCCUGGUUCUCCUUUCUGGAAUGGGAAUGUUUACCCUACACCUCUCCAACCACUGUAUUUUGGAAGCACGUAACAUGUUUGAUUUCAUAGGUUUACAGCAAGAGCAGUUUGACUCAGGGUAACUGUACCCUGAAUUUUAUCCAUAUUUGACUCAGAUAACAUUUAAAUUAUACUUCGGAUUACAAUUUUAAAGUUGAUGGUAAAAUGAGCUAAGACAUUUGGGGCUACUGGGGAGAAAUGUAUGUAUUUUGUAUAUGAGAAGGAUGUAGAUUUUAGGGAAACGGAAGCAAGAUAG
Non-coding RNA from Callithrix jacchus (white-tufted-ear marmoset), 6600 nucleotides. Lineage: Eukaryota; Metazoa; Chordata; Mammalia; Primates; Cebidae. The record is from RefSeq and is a predicted model, not a curated record.